CGGGGGGGGCAAGCGUUGUUCGGAAUUACUGGGCGUAAAGGGCUCGUGGGCGGCCAACUAAGUCAAACGUGAAAUCCCUCGGCUUAACCGGGGAACUGCGUCUGAUACUGGAUGGCUUGAGUUUGGGAGAGGGAUGCGGAAUUCCAGGUGUAGCGGUGAAAUGCGUAGAUAUCUGGAGGAACACCGGUGGCGAAGGCGGCAUCCUGGACCAACACUGACGCUGAGGAGCGAAAGCCAGGGGAGCAAACGGGAUUAGAUACCCCGGUAGUCCUGGCCCUAAACGAUGAAUGCUUGGUGUGGCGGGUAUCGAUCCCUGCCGUGCCGAAGCUAACGCAUUAAGCAUUCCGCCUGGGGAGUACGGUCGCAAGGCUG
This 372-nucleotide ribosomal RNA is filed under the name uncultured organism. RNAcentral describes it as "bacterial SSU rRNA". It matches the Rfam family "Bacterial small subunit ribosomal RNA", at positions 526 to 896 of the family's 1533-position model. The record is from RNAcentral.